Molecule: long non-coding RNA, 899 nt
Organism: Syzygium oleosum
Lineage: Eukaryota; Viridiplantae; Streptophyta; Magnoliopsida; Myrtales; Myrtaceae
Exons: 3
Source: RefSeq, a predicted model, not a curated record
GUCCUUCUUCAGUGCCACUUUCCACUCUCGUGCACAUUUUCAUCUUCACAGCCGCUCAGCUGGAGGAAUUUGGUGUUACAUGAGGCUCCGAUGGUUGCACUCAUUAACUCCAUCAGUCGCGGGAGGCGUGGGCCUGAACUCAAGCUCUGGAAUCACCAGCUAAUCGCUGAAGAACAGUCGACCAUCUGAGGAUCGAACCGAACCAUUCCCAUGAAUGUUACUGUAGAGCGAACAAAGCUUUCUACACAGGAUGUUGAGCAUCUUCUCAUGAGGAGUUUGACCUCAGGCUUGUCAUUGGCGCUCUGAUGAUGGACCAGCAGUUGGCGACCAUCCUUGGGUUGAUGCUCAUGCUCUCGUUCCUCGUCGCCGACAGGUACUACGUCAAAAACGUGCCUCCCUUCAUUGCUUGGAUCAGAUAUCUUUCAAUUAGCCACUACACAUACAAGCUCUUGAUGGGGUCACAGUUCAAGCCUGAGGAUGCAUACCCCUGUGGUGAGUCUUCAUGCUUGAUUAGGGACUGUCCGGGGAUCAAGAAGGUGGGGCUUGAUGGGCAUGUUGUCUCGGAAAUCGCAUUGGAGAUAAUGUUUGUUUGGUAUAGGCUCAUUGCCUACAUUUUAUUGAUGAGGAUUGGGAUGACCAAGAGAAGAAAGUCGCUAGUGUUUUUUUUUCCCAACUCGAUCGGGCAGUCCAUUGUCCUCGCGAUCCGUCAUCGAUAUCGUCAAGUACAACAGGAAGUGAUGAUGAUGUGCAAUUGACUUCAGUUCCUUAAUAUUCUCUGUUUUGAUCCGGUGCUGGGACGUUUGGAGUUGUUAGGUUAAGUUAAUUGCAGGAUCGUCCAUUGUGACGACAAGAAACAACGAGGACUGUGUGAGAUCAGUUUCGUUAUUCAUAUGUUAAUC